GUUGACCUCGGAUCACGUGGGAUACCCCUGAACUUAAGCAUAUCAAUAAGCGGAGGA
This 57-nucleotide ribosomal RNA is filed under the name Gremmeniella abietina. Its description in RNAcentral is "partial 28S ribosomal RNA". Lineage: Eukaryota; Fungi; Ascomycota; Leotiomycetes; Helotiales; Godroniaceae. The record is from RNAcentral.